UACGGAAGGGGCGAGCGUUGUUCGGAAUCAUUGGGCGUAAAGGGCGCGUAGGUGGUUCUGUAUGUCUACCGUGAAAGCGUACGGCUCAACCGUAUUUUGUCGGUAGAAACUGCAGGACUUGAGGCUGGGAGGGGCUGGUGGAAUUCCCUGUGUAGCGGUGAAAUGCGUAGAGAUGGGGGAGAACACUCGUGGCGAAGGCGGCCAGCUAGACCAGUUCUGACACUGAGGCGCGAAAGCGUGGGGAGCAAACAGG
RNAcentral lists this ribosomal RNA (253 nucleotides) under uncultured bacterium. Its description in RNAcentral is "partial 16S ribosomal RNA". It matches the Rfam family "Bacterial small subunit ribosomal RNA", at positions 524 to 776 of the family's 1533-position model. The record is from RNAcentral.